RNAcentral lists this ribosomal RNA (253 nucleotides) under uncultured bacterium. RNAcentral describes it as "partial 16S ribosomal RNA". It matches the Rfam family "Bacterial small subunit ribosomal RNA", at positions 524 to 776 of the family's 1533-position model. The record is from RNAcentral.
UACGUAGGGUGCGAGCGUUAAUCGGAAUUACUGGGCGUAAAGCGUGCGCAGGCGGUGAGCUGUGUCCGAUGUGAAAGCCCCGGGCUUAACCUGGGAAUGGCAUUGGAAACUGGCUCGCUGGAGUGUGGCAGAGGGGGGUGGAAUUCCGCGUGUAGCAGUGAAAUGCGUAGAGAUGCGGAGGGACACCGAUGGCGAAGGCAGCCCCCUGGGCUAACACUGACGCUCAGGCACGAAAGUGUGGGGAGCAAACAGG